GUCGUCGAGGCUUGAUCUUGAAUUUGGCCGGAAACUUCUUCAAGGGCCGUUGAGGCUUGAUUCUUAAAGGUUAACUCGAACACAUGGCAAGCAGGCACGAGGUGAAGGUGACGGCUUGUUGCUUUGUUCAAUCUUUCUAAUUCACACCUGAGCAGUUUGGUCAACGGUAUGAUCUUCAAGAUUGAUGGGCUCUUCUUCCAAUUGGUGACUUGAUCUUUAAGGAUUUGAUUCAAGGGUGGUGAAACGGCACAUGCAGCCCACAACGCCUAGUAAGUCGACCCAAGAAUUUGAGGGUCAAAACGAGUCCUCCACCAGAGUGAUUGCAAACCUGAUGAUAUGAGAUACUUUUGAUUUUGAAGAAGUAGCGGAUGAAUCGGCACGUGCUUUGUUGUGCUUGUCUCCACAUGCUUCAAUGUAUCAUUUUCCCUUGUCUGAUCUAUUCUUCUGGCAGAAUGUAGCAUCUUCUCGAGUUCUUCAGCUCAGACUCCUUCUGCUGAGCUGACCGUGCAGG
RNAcentral lists this long non-coding RNA (511 nucleotides) under Malus domestica (apple). Its description in RNAcentral is "long non-coding RNA (MDOM_LNC004373)". The record is from RNAcentral. Lineage: Eukaryota; Viridiplantae; Streptophyta; Magnoliopsida; Rosales; Rosaceae.